GUCCAGGGGCGGGAAUCGAACCCACACCCUUCUGCUUACCGGGCAGGUGCCUUUUCCACUCGGCUACCCUGGA
RNAcentral lists this transfer RNA (73 nucleotides) under Cordylochernes scorpioides. Its description in RNAcentral is "tRNA-Thr". The record is from RNAcentral. Lineage: Eukaryota; Metazoa; Arthropoda; Arachnida; Pseudoscorpiones; Chernetidae.